UGUCCCUCUGUCACCUCCCUGUCCCUGUGUCCCACCCCUGUCCUCGAACAGCCCCACCAGGUACGCCUCGCUGGCCUCCUGCACAGGUGAGACACAGGUGAGACACAGGUGAGACACAGGUGAGACAGGUGAGACACACUCGGGGUCAUCUGUCACCCCCCUGUGUCCUCGAACAGCCCCACCAGGUACGCCUCGCUGGCCUCCUGCACAGGUGAGACACAGGUGAGACACAGGUGUGACACACACAGGUGAGACAGGUGACAUCAAUGGCGGCGCUCUGGAAGCGCAGCUCUGCUUUGGGCUGUCACUGUCAGUACCCAGCUGUCCCCAGGUGUGUCCCAGCUGUCCCCAGGUGUGUGUCUCACCUGCCCAG
Long non-coding RNA from Passer domesticus (house sparrow), 373 nucleotides. RefSeq lists it as uncharacterized. The transcript has 3 exons. Lineage: Eukaryota; Metazoa; Chordata; Aves; Passeriformes; Passeridae. The record is from RefSeq and is a predicted model, not a curated record.